Long non-coding RNA from Rosa rugosa (rugosa rose), 2204 nucleotides. RefSeq lists it as uncharacterized. The record is from RefSeq and is a predicted model, not a curated record. Lineage: Eukaryota; Viridiplantae; Streptophyta; Magnoliopsida; Rosales; Rosaceae. The transcript is spliced from 11 exons.
GUGAAUAAAACCGAAACCGACCUAGAAAGAAAAUAAAAAGCCUUUUAGGGAAUCAAUCUUGUCUCAAAUUUACUCUCAUCGCCAAACCAUGAUAGGCAGGAAAAUCCCAGGCGCCGGAGACAGCAAAUCUGCUAAGGCGGAGGAGAGCGAUAGCGAGGAGAUCGAGGAUAUUUUUGAAGAACUCAAAAUAUGGGCAUCGAACACGAGGAGUGCAAAGAGAGCAAGGAGAGCAAAAAGAGCAAGAAGAGCACGACGCGGCCGGAGAUAUGCUAGCAAGGUCAAGUUCUGGAAAGUAAACGCACCUUCUAUAAUUCUACCCGUGGCAAUAAAACCAGAGACCGUCACUAUUCCUGGCAAAAAUGGUGCUGAUCCUGUUACAAUCUCCGUGUUCGAUUGUAAGUAAGCUCUUGAUUUUUGUUUUAAGGUCUGAGAGUAUCCUUCAGCUCUGUGUUUUAAAGAACAUGAAUGUUUGUGUCAUUUUAAUUUUUUGUUUGUUUGUUAAUGAGACAAAAUACUGUGUGAUCAAUUUGGUCAUUGAAGAAAACUUCACUAGCCAGGUCUUAAUGGUUUUUGCAUUAGGUAUAGCCGAAGCAGAAUGAUACUUGUCGUUUUGCAAUAUAACUUCUCCAGUCAAAUCAUUUUGCUCUAUCUGAUCUAUGCCUGAUCCGUAGCACGCAGUUAAGAUAGAGCAAAUAUCUGCUGAUGGGAUCAUAGAUUUUGUUGCAUCAGCAGUAUGUUUAUAGCAUUUUUAAUCGUAGAUUCAUUCUUGCUUUUCUUAUGAUAUUAUCGAUAUGUUUUCUAGUACCUUAUGUCAUGUAGUCAGCCCUGAACUCCUUAUCUUUUGGCAAUGACAAUGUAUUAUAUAUGUAUAUGUAUAUGAUGGUAUUUCAUGUAACAAUACCCGUGAAUGGGUAGCAGUGAAAGAUGAAAGAGCACGUGUGUGUGUCAUGCGCCCCUAUGGGACCCACAGACCCUUGGUAUUGUUAGAGGAUCCAUCUAUAGUCUCCCGUGCAUGCAGAGAGAGCCAUAUGUUUUCAAUUAAUCACUAGAUCUCUUUUUUUAGUUUCCAAAUGAGACUGCCAUUUGUACUUGUGAAGCAUGUGUGAAAGGGCUUGUUUUGUUGUUGUUAUUGUUGUUUUGACAGUGUAUGUGUGAAACAGGUUCAGUCCAUAUAAGCCAAAGAUCCGCAGAGGCCCCUGGCCCGAAAUACCCCUUUCUCAUGAUGUGAAUGGUAUUGAUUCCGUGUUGAAGUUCAUUCUUGGAGGUUGUGAUCCAAGUGGUAGCAAGGUCACCGAGGUGAGGAAAGCAGAGCGUUCACCUGCUGGGCCUUCACAUGGUAGCAAGGUCAUGGCCGGGAAAGCGAAAUGUGCACCUGCUGGGCCUUCACUUGAUUCGGACAGUCCCCUCCUAAGGGCUUAAGAUAUGCAUGUGAAGUAGUGGUUUGUGGUUUCUGAUGAUGUUAAUGUUGCUGCGGCUGUGUGUUUUGAGGUGAAGCGUUGCUCUGUUUACAUUUCCCAGUCUGAGAAAGUUCUCUGGACGGAUAUAUGUAUUUCUGGUUAAUGUAAUAUAUAGGGGGUGAAACUGUCAUCCCAACAACUGCUGGGCCUGCUGGGCCUUCACUUGAUUCGGACAGUCCCCUCCUAAGGGCUUAAGAUAUGCAUGUGAAGUAGUGGUUUGUGGUUUCUGAUGAUGUUAAUGUUGCUGCGGCUGUGUGUUUUGAGGUGAAGCGUUGCUCUGUUUACAUUUCCCAGUCUGAGAAAGUUCUCUGGACGGAUAUAUGUAUUUCUGGUUAAUGUAAUAUAUAGGGGGUGAAACUGUCAUCCCAACAACUGCUGGGCCUGCUGGGCCUUCACUUGAUUCGGACAGUCCCCUCCUAAGGGCUUAAGAUAUGCAUGUGAAGUAGUGGUUUGUGGUUUCUGAUGAUGUUAAUGUUGCUGCGGCUGUGUGUUUUGAGGUGAAGCGUUGCUCUGUUUACAUUUCCCAGUCUGAGAAAGUUCUCUGGACGGAUAUAUGUAUUUCUGGUUAAUGUAAUAUAUAGGGGGUGAAACUGUCAUCCCAACAACACCCACCCCCCCCCCCCCCCCCCCCCCCCCCCGACUAGUACAUCCCUUCUUUUACAAGCCAGACUACCUUCCAUUCCUUGAUAUAUAUGUGUGUGUAUAUUUAAUGCUUAAUUUAUCUUCUGGUUGUACUCUUUAUCUCCA